UCAUAAUUUAUUAUUAAAAAUUCACAAAUAAUCAACAACAAAAUAUAAAAAAAAAAGUAUAAACAAAAAAUUCCAGAAUAAGCAAAGCAGUCAGAAUCAACCAUAAAUAUCUCAAAAUUAGAAAAAUUUCAGCCAUCCAGCACAAUGCAAUGAAGCAUGCACCAUAACACCAUCAACAAUUCAGAAUCAGAAAAUCAGCAAUCAGAAUUACCAAUCCAAAAUUAAAAUAAAUCAGCAUAAACAACACAAGAUAGAAUUGUGGCAAUGUUUUUAUUUUGAAUCAAUAACAGCAAAACAAUUCACCAAAAUAACAACUACAACAGACUGAAUUGAAAACUAGCAACCAGAACCACCAAUCCAAAAUCAGAAUAAAUCAGCAUAAAUAAAACAGCACAAGAUAGAAUUGUAGCAAUGUUUUUAUUUUGAAUCAAUAACAGCAAAACAAUUCACCAAAAUAACAAGCACAACAGAUUAGAUUUAAAAAUCAAUCUCAGCAGAAUUAAUAAAUUAAACAAUUGAAUUUAUAACUCAUCAACGACAGAAAUCAAAUAAAAAUUCAAAAAUUAAUAUCUCAAAACUCAGAAUCAUCAAUAAUACACAAGGUUCUGAAAACCGGACCGGUCAUCAAACCGUUUUAGUCACUGGUUCAUUGGUCCAACCGGUGGUUCAACCGGAAAAACAGUGUUAAAAUAAAAUAAUAGAUAAAUUAUAAAGGACCAAAGAUGAAGGUACUCCAAGAACUGCUAUUAGAUGCAACAGCAUUCAACAUUAUCACAUAUUCUCACACACACAUACAAAGCCUUAACUCAAAGAACAACCACAGCAAGUGACUUGGAAAGAAAAUGUAAACACCGAAACAAUCACAAGCAUACAGAACAUGUGAAUAUUAUUAUAGCAAACAUAAUAAUAAAAUAGCUCUUCUAAUGCGUCUCCGAAAAUAUCCCAAAUAAAAAAAACUACAUAAUCUGAUCCACUUGAUUCAGAAAGCUACAUAUAUUAGAAAAAUUAAGAAUCAACUAAAAGAAAAAGAAAAGGAAGGCCUGGUUGAUUUGAUUCAAUUGCCUGAGAUGAAGAAUCAAACAGGGCUGAGAAGCUGAGAUUUUAAAUGUUAAACCUCAAUAUUCAAAUACCAUGACUCCAUUAUUGUUAUUAUUACACCCUUCUAAUGUCACAAACUCAAUAUAUAUUAUAGUCCGUUGACACUUGUGUAUUCACAACUUGGCCUCAUCAUUCUGAUUCAUACCUUAAGUAGAAGAAAAAGUCCCAAUCAGCUUUCGUUACAAUUUUAUCCAGAGAGUUGGGGUUUUGGUUCGGAGUUCAUGCCAAUGAUAAUGACGAGAGGGAUGAAUCCGUGAAUCAGUAACAUGGGCAGUGCAAAUUUAAAAUUUAAAAGUUAUCAAUUUAAAAUUUAUCAUCAAAUACAAUCAGUGAGCAAAGCCAAUCAAUCAAGCACUGACUAGGCAUUCUGUUCUGAUUCUGUGACUGGGAAGCAACAAAUUCAACAACAAAUUCAAGUUACAGCAACAAAUUUAACAAAUCCCAGUAAAGUCCGAUUUACAGCAAAAAGGCAAAUUUAUUGAUUACCAAUUCAGCAACAUGCAGAAAUACAGGGAGAAGGGAAAUCUGGAAAAGAGAGAACACUAAACCAAAACAUUAACCAAUAAUCACAAAACACAAAACCUUCACCCAGCAAUUACAAACAAAGCCAGCAAUUACAAACAUUAGCACAUUAUAAAACAUUCCAAAACACUAAACCUUCAUCCAGCAAAACCAGCAACUACAAACAAAGCCAUCAGUAAAUUUGAACCAAAAAUUAAGAGCCAUCAGCAACUAACAGAGCCAUCGAGCUAUCGGUAACAGAGCCAUCAGUAACAGAGCAAAGAAUUGAAAGCAACAGACUAACAGAGCCAUCAGUAAAUUUGAAAAAAAAUUUUACAGGCCUCAGCAACCAGCAAAUACAAGACAGAUCCAUCAGCAGCAGACAAUUACAAUUUACAAAACAUUACAAGAAAAAUGGAACAAAAAUUGAACAAUUUCAGAAUUUCAAACGAAGAAGAAAA
Arachis ipaensis is the source of this 2060-nucleotide non-coding RNA. NCBI's taxonomy places the organism in Eukaryota, Viridiplantae, Streptophyta, Magnoliopsida, Fabales, Fabaceae. The record is from RefSeq and is a predicted model, not a curated record.